Molecule: ribosomal RNA, 802 nt
Filed under: uncultured bacterium
Lineage: Bacteria
Description: bacterial SSU rRNA
Rfam family: Bacterial small subunit ribosomal RNA
Source: RNAcentral
AGAGUUUGAUCCUGGCUCAGGAUGAACGCUGGCGGCGUGCCUAAUACAUGCAAGUCGAACGAAGAGAGAAUGAAGCUUGCUUCAUUUAAUCUUAGUGGCGAACGGGUGAGUAAUACAUAAGCAACCUACCUAUAGGACUGGGAUAACAGUUGGAAACGACUGCUAAUACCGGAUAGGUUAACCGAAGGCAUCUUUGGUUAAUUAAAGGUUAGAAACACCGAUAGAUGGGCUUAUGGCGUAUUAGCUAGUUGGAGAGGUAACGGCUCACCAAGGCGAUGAUACGUAGCCGACCUGAGAGGGUGACCGGCCACAUUGGGACUGAGACACGGCCCAAACUCCUACGGGAGGCAGCAGUAGGGAAUUUUCGGCAAUGGGCGAAAGCCUGACCGAGCAACGCCGCGUGAGUGAAGACGGCCUUAGGGUUGUAAAGCUCUGUUGUAAAGGAAGAACAGUUAGAAUAGAAUUUUAGCAUGACGGUACUUUACCAGAAAGCCACGGCUAACUACGUGCCAGCAGCCGCGGUAAUACGUAGGUGGCGAGCGUUAUCCGGAAUUAUUGGGCGUAAAGGGAGCGCAGGCGGUUGAUUAAGUUUUAGGUUAAAGCGUGGGGCUUAACCCCAUAAAGCCUAAGAAACUGGUCGACUAGAGUGCAGAAGAGGGUAGUGGAAUUCCAUGUGUAGCGGUAAAAUGCGUAGAUAUAUGGAGGAACACCAGUGGCGAAGGCGGCUACCUGGUCUGUAACUGACGCUGAGGCUCGAAAGCGUGGGGAGCAAAUAGGAUUAGAUACCCUAGUAGUCCACGCC